RNAcentral lists this non-coding RNA (21 nucleotides) under Caenorhabditis elegans. The record is from RNAcentral. Lineage: Eukaryota; Metazoa; Nematoda; Chromadorea; Rhabditida; Rhabditidae.
UUUUUCUUCAACAUUCGUACC